GUUGUUAUGCUCACCUAGGCUGCAUUUAUUUAUCCAAAAAUAUAGUAAAAAUCCAUGAUGAAAAAAAGUAUUCAUUUCUUAAUUCAAUAUCAGUCUUUAACCUUUAUUGUAAGAAUCCUCUCCUAUACCUGUUUGUUCAACCGUAUUUGUUUCCACAGUACAGUUUGAAGUGAGAUUACCUGCUCUUCCUCUCCAGAUAUCUUCCAGUUCCUCUUCCUCCUGCUGGAAUAGCCAGUGGCCUGGCUUAAGAAGCUCCUCCAUGCUGAUGAGGACAAUGGGAGUAAGUGGACUUUCGUUUACCGAAGGAAGUCCUGGAGAAGUGCCCAGUUCUCCUCCACCUCGGCCUGUUUGCAUGUAACUCUUUUGGCCAGGGUUGGGUGGAGAGUCAACAGGCAAGACGCAGACUCAUUCAGCAUCUGGAAAGAGAGUUGUCCAGGGAGGGGUGGGGUCAUGGAAGGAAAUGACAUCAUUCAUUUGGAGUUCAUUUGCUACAGUGUGUUUACAUAAGAAGACAUUAUUUCCUCUAAUGAGAUCAUGGGUUUUACUUACGUUGAUCUGACAGGCAAUUUCUCUGGUCUCUUUGUCACUUUUUUGGAUGUCACCCGCCAAUACAUGGUUCCUCUGCAACAAAAUUCAUCCUGGAUCAGGACUUGUAUUACAAUCAUGAUUUAUAAAGACAGU
Cyprinus carpio carpio is the source of this 681-nucleotide long non-coding RNA. The record is from Ensembl. NCBI's taxonomy places the organism in Eukaryota, Metazoa, Chordata, Actinopteri, Cypriniformes, Cyprinidae.